RNAcentral lists this small nuclear RNA (107 nucleotides) under Myotis davidii. Lineage: Eukaryota; Metazoa; Chordata; Mammalia; Chiroptera; Vespertilionidae. The record is from RNAcentral.
AUGCUCACUACGGCAGCACAUAUACUAAAAUUAGAAUGAUACAGAGCAGGUUAGUAUGGGCCUUGCACAAGGAUGACCCGCAAAUUCAAGUGUUCCAUAUUAUUUUU